UGGCUCAGUGGUUAAAGUACUUGGCUAUUAACCAAAAGUUUGGUGGUUCAAACCCACC
Molecule: transfer RNA, 58 nt
Filed under: Loxodonta africana (African savanna elephant)
Lineage: Eukaryota; Metazoa; Chordata; Mammalia; Proboscidea; Elephantidae
Rfam family: tRNA
About the family: Transfer RNA (tRNA) molecules are approximately 80 nucleotides in length. Their secondary structure includes four short double-helical elements and three loops (D, anti-codon, and T loops).
Source: Rfam by way of RNAcentral